Molecule: non-coding RNA, 130 nt
Organism: Lasiosphaeria ovina
Lineage: Eukaryota; Fungi; Ascomycota; Sordariomycetes; Sordariales; Lasiosphaeriaceae
Source: the annotation of a GenBank genome assembly
GGCAAGAUGGCCGAGCAGUUUAAGGCGCCGCGUUAGGGAGAUAAUAUCCCUUAAUUCACGGUGUGACAUCCUGUUACAUCACAUUAUUCCGUGGUCCGAAAGGGCCUAGGUUCGAAUCCCACUCUUAUCA